ACUCCUACGGGAGGCAGCAGUGGGGAAUAUUGCACAAUGGGCGCAAGCCUGAUGCAGCCAUGCCGCGUGUAUGAAGAAGGCCUUCGGGUUGUAAAGUACUUUCAGCAGUGAGGAAGGUGGUAGUGUUAAUAGCACUAUCAUUUGACGUUAGCUGCAGAAGAAGCACCGGCUAACUCCGUGCCAGCAGCCGCGGUAAUACGGAGGGUGCGAGCGUUAAUCGGAAUUACUGGGCGUAAAGCGCAUGCAGGUGGUUUGUUAAGUCAGAUGUGAAAGCCCGGGGCUCAACCUCGGAAUAGCAUUUGAAACUGGCAGACUAGAGUACUGUAGAGGGGGGUAGAAUUUCAGGUGUAGCGGUGAAAUGCGUAGAGAUCUGAAGGAAUACCGGUGGCGAAGGCGGCCCCCUGGACAGAUACUGACACUCAGAUGCGAAAGCGUGGGGAGCAAACAGGAUUAGAUACCCUGGUAGGAUAGCG
This 473-nucleotide ribosomal RNA is filed under the name uncultured bacterium. Its description in RNAcentral is "bacterial SSU rRNA". It matches the Rfam family "Bacterial small subunit ribosomal RNA", at positions 335 to 799 of the family's 1533-position model. The record is from RNAcentral.